CCCUUAGAUGUUCUGGGCCGCACGCGCGCUACACUGACGAUGGCAACGAGUUUUUCCUUCGCCGAAAGGUGUGGGUAAUCUUUUGAAACAUCGUCGUGCUGGGGAUAGAUCAUUGCAAUUUUUGAUCUUGAACGAGGAAUUCCUAGUAAGCGCGAGUCAUCAGCUCGCGUUGAUUACGUCCCUGCCCUUUGUACACACCGCCCGUCGCUACUACCGAUUGAAUGGUUUAAUGAGGACUCCUGAUUGGCGCCGCCGCCCCGGCAACGGAGCAGCGGACUGCCGAAAAGUUGUUCAAACUUGAUCAUUUAGAGGAAGUAAAAGUCGUAACA
This 329-nucleotide ribosomal RNA is filed under the name uncultured eukaryote. RNAcentral's name for it is "partial 18S ribosomal RNA". It matches the Rfam family "Eukaryotic small subunit ribosomal RNA", at positions 1470 to 1796 of the family's 1831-position model. The record is from RNAcentral.